AAAAAUUUAGGUGUUGGACUCCCCUUCGGCUUCACAUGGCCAGCCCUAAUUUCUUAAUCCAAACCUAAUCACACACAAAUACACAAUCACGCUGCCUACAAUAGAUUUGGUCAUCUGCUGUGCUGCUUGCCGACAACAAAUUGCUGCUCUUCGUCUUCGUCUUCGUCCUCAUCCCCGAUCUCUAGCUUGCUGGCUAUUCCCAUUUCCUUUUGUUUCGCAACUUAAUGGUUGUUGCCGGUAGCCUGCUACCUUCUUCAACUCCGAGCUAUAGCUAAUGCCUUCUUAAUUUAGAUUUUCUUCAAGUUCGAGUUGCUGCUACUGUAUUCUUUUGUGAGAGGUAAGCUGAUGGGUUCUUUCAUUUGUACACUAGGGUUUGGGGUUCUCUGAUCAGAAUAUAUCGGCUGGUCUGGUGAUUGCUCAACCGCCGUCGAUUUUUGAGGUGCCGCCCAGGUUGAGCCCCGCAAUUCUACUUGACUCGCUAAAUUUCAGUUUGUUUUCGCCUACACAGGUAAUUCAAUUUAACUUUGUCUGACCUAAAGUUUCUUCAUUUAUUCAUUAGAUUUUAGCUUGUUUAGGAAAGCUUUCAUUUUUAUUGGGUUUCGCAUUUAAAUGCUAAUAAUCCUUGGGUUUGAAUUUUGAUUUUUUUUUUUUUGGAGGGAUGGAAAAUUUUCUUCAUUGCCUUGAUUUGUUAGCAGUCGGUUGGAAUUUUGAAUUAGAGCUUGCUGAAGCAUUUAUUAUAGAAUUUAUAAAUGUGCCCUGUAAUUGGGAUAAAAACUCUUGACUUAAUUAAUCUGACAGAAGAACAUUUUGAGCAAUGUUGUAAUGUGAUUGUGCAUUGCUGAGAUAAUCUCAUCUUGUUUUGGUAUUCUAAGUAUCCAAAUGGACUGGAUAGUAGGCUAUCCAGGUCAAGUUUUAAUGGUAAUUGGGCAUUUUUCUUUCCUGAUUUUAGUUUCAUCUCUUUUUAGAUGAAGCAUAUGGUUAAUGCAAACAAUUAACGAAAGAAAAGCUCUUGGUAUUACUAGUGUUGGAGAUCCAAUUGUCUUCAUGUAAACUGUGAACACUUUUAACUCCCAUAUCUAAGAUAUAAAGAUCUUGAUGUAGCUUUAAGCCAAAUAUGUGAGAAAUUCUCCAAUCUAGUCACAACUUUAUUAGCAACCAAGAAUGAAAGAGUAUUAGCUUCCAGUUAUAAUUUGAUGACCGGAGCUUGAAUGAGUGAGUGAUAACUUGUAUUGUCUAUAUUGCUUUGUAUGUCAUGCCUCACUGGCAUUAUGUUACUUGGGUAUCCAAAUUUUGCGUUUAUCUAUUACUAAUUUUCCUGAUUCAUUGGAUGCAACCUAGGGAGCCUUUAGAAUGAAGCACUAGCAGGCCCUAGCACAGGUCACUGCCCAAGCUGUACAAGCUGAAUCUCAUACACAAAGCCUUGUUGAAUAUCAAUGUUGUUAACACACUGAAUAAUUUCCUCUGUGACUUCAAGGUUUUAAUCAAAUUUAGAGGUAUAUGUGGUUCUCAAACCCAUUACAAUUGACUGGUACUUGUGUUUUUUUUUUAUUAGAAAGAUAUCUUCUGCAAAAACUUUAUGAAAUUCACUUUUGGAAAUGCAAAUGCUUUGUGUGGUGGUACUUGCAUUUAUUUGCUUGGUCUUCUACCAUUUCAGUCAAAUGAUUUAUUUUGACUCGUGCUUAUGACUAACUUGUUGAUAGAGAAACUAGGCUGUUUAUGGAUGUAUUAAUGUGCAUCCUAUGAUUUUUCUCUUAAUUGACAUGUUGAACUUUUUGGAAGAAUAUUUUUUUUUCAAUUUGAUUUGUCACAUAUUGUGCUAUGUUAAUUGGAAAUGUUUUGGUUUGUGGUCCAUGUUGCACUUACUAGUCCUCAGUACUUGGUGGUCCUUUAGCAUCAUAAAUUAAAUUGGAUGCAUUUAAAGCAUCCAUUGCGUAGCAUUAUCACACUAAAGGGUCUCAUCUAGUUAGAAUAUUUUUUCUGCUUAUUUCCUCCAGAAGAGACAUUAUAUAAGAGUAUAUAGAUUCAAUCCUAAUUGGACAAUCAGAGUUGGUGACUAGGUAAACUAGUCGGGCAAAGAAUGGUCUUGCAAAGCUAAAUUGAAGAUGUAAUUUUGGAAAAAUUGAAACAGCUGGUCCAUAAAUAAUGAUACUUUUGCUCCUAAGAACCAAGAGAUUCCAGCCUAUCUAUCUUUUUUUGGUUUUUGUAUAUAUAUAACUCAUGAGAUUUAUAAUUUUUCAUUAUCAUGUUAACCCCUGGUCUGGACUGUCCUAAUAUUUAAACUUCUUUCCACCAUUUUCAAUUCUUAAAUUGACCAAUAUUUAUCUCAAUGUGUCCCUUUACUUGCCCAUUGAAUUUUGCAUCAAGGAUCUGAUGUGGUAGAAGAGAAGCUAACAAUUUAUGCGCUCGACAAUGUCUUUGCCUUUUGAAUUGAUUGAGAGAUCAUCAUUUCUUCACCCACUGGAAACUUUAGAUUAUGCUUUACGCUUUAGGCUUAGACUGAUAUUAGUGUUGGCAAGCCUACAAUCAUGGUAUUAAAGUUGGUAGAUUGAGGAGAUUCUGGUGAUUCCAGAAUUUUCUACAUUUUCUCUUUAUCUUUUGGAUUUUUAGAACUUUUUCCUUUCUUUUUAUUAGCUUGAUUUUGAUGGAUUUUAUUUAAUUAUAUAUGGAAGGUUAGAUGUUGUGCAUUAAUUAAAUUGUAGUCUUGAAAAAAUACUCUUUAAAAAAAUUCAUCUAGAAAUUUAGAAUUGAAAUCUGUAGAAUGCUAGACUAAAAGUUCUCUUCUCGUCUUUGGCAUUGCACUUGGUUUUAUAUUUCUCUUUACUAUGUACUCUGUUGCAAAAUAUUUUGUUUAUACUUAAUCUUUUAUAAUCCAGCAACUCUUAUGAAGACCUAGUCAACUGUCACUGCUACAUAAGCAUUCAGGUUAUGCUGCUUUAUCAUCAUUUUUAUUUUCUUCCCUUUUUCUCUUUUACAGCUUGUGAGCUUACUGCUUCAUUAUGUCAAUUGUCGAAUGUGAUUUUUUAUUUUCUCUUGGGUUGUUUAUUCUCAUUUUCCCUUUAGUAUCAAAGCUGAUUAAAUCAAUUAGACACUGAUGAAUUUUAUUAUGAAUUUGAUUAAUUGUAAGCGGGCAAUAUAUUAAUAUGUAUUUUUUUGGCACUCAUUUUAUUGUAACCUAUGUUUCAGGUGAUGUUGGUGGCUUUCGGGAAUUUACUAAGAGUGUUUUUUUUAUGGAUUAAUUGUUUUUCUAGUGAUGUGUUGGUGAUUGGAUAUUAUAAAGGAUUUAUGAGAUAUUGUAAAGGAUUUGAUUCACCAUAUAUUUUGUGAUGCUAUUUGUUGGAAGUUUCAAGUGAUUGAAAUUUUUAGCGCAUCACACUAUUUGGUAUUUGAUAGUUUUUAUGAAUUUGAAUGUAAUUUUUAUUUCAAUUAAUUCAAGUUUUAAAUGUGGUUUUUGUUGUUUUUAUUUCAAAA
RNAcentral lists this long non-coding RNA (3468 nucleotides) under Citrus maxima (pomelo). RNAcentral describes it as "long non-coding RNA (CMAX_LNC001918)". Lineage: Eukaryota; Viridiplantae; Streptophyta; Magnoliopsida; Sapindales; Rutaceae. The record is from RNAcentral.